Molecule: ribosomal RNA, 498 nt
Filed under: uncultured bacterium
Lineage: Bacteria
Description: partial 16S ribosomal RNA
Rfam family: Bacterial small subunit ribosomal RNA
Source: RNAcentral
GACGAACGCUGGCGGCGUGCCUAAUACAUGCAAGUCGAACGAGAGCGCCCGGUGCUUGCACUGGUCAAUCUAGUGGCGAACGGGUGAGUAACACGUGGGUAACCUGCCCAUCAGAGGGGGAUAACUUUCGGAAACGGAUGCUAAAACCGCAUAGGUUUUCGAACCGCAUGGUUUGAAGAGGAAAAGCGGCGCAGGCUUCUGCUGUUGGAUGAACCCGCGGUGCAUUAGCUAGUUGGUAAGGUAACGGCUCACCAAGGCCGUGAUGCAUAGCCGACCUGAGAGGGUGAUCGGCCACAUUGGAACUGAGACACGGCCCAAACUCCUACGGGAGGCAGCAGUAGGGAAUCUUCCGCAAUGGGCGCAAGUCUGACGGAGCAACGCCGCGUGAGUGAAGAAGGUUUUCGGAUCGUAAAACUCUGUUGUUAGAGAAGAACAAGUGCUAGAGUAACUGUUAGCGCCUUGACGGUAUCUAACCAGAAAGCCACGGCUAACUACGUG